UUCCUGACCCACACUGCCUCUGCGGCGUCCCCAAAGCUUGCUCCAUUCGAGGCACCUGACUUUGGACCGGUCCCCUCCCCAUGCACAGAGACCCGGGGACGGCUGAUGGGACUCCAGGCCAGGGCGAGGCAGGACAAGAGCAGACUCGCCUUUCUUCUUCCUCGCGGGAGGCUCAGGAGGAAACACGCCAACUCUGGUAGGAGGCAUCGCACCCAGGCUCAGAGGGAAAGGAAGACGGGCCAGCAACACCCCGGUCUCACGUCUGGGUGGAAACAGACCCUCUGGCUCCAACGCCUCCUCCCGGCCACUUCUGCCUUGUCCCCCCGGCCAGGGUUCUGCCUGUCAGUUAGUGAUUAGGUUUUCAAAAGCUUAUAAAGGCUUUCCUCUUACCUCGACUGACAAAGCAUGAAUCGCUGCAAACCUAGCAUCUCCCCCAUUUUUCCUGGCCCUCCUCCUUUUUCAGCUUCACAACCCGGGGGGGGGAGGCUGGUGUCCCUCCCCAGAGCCGAGUGCCACACGGCAGAUUUACAUGUGCAAGCGCCGCCUCGGUCAUUUGCAUCUUAAUGUUCCAAACCCACAAUCAUGAAGCCUUGUGUGAAGAAAUAAAGAAGGAUUUAGAGAAA
Long non-coding RNA from Lemur catta (Ring-tailed lemur), 623 nucleotides. RefSeq lists it as uncharacterized. The transcript is spliced from 2 exons. NCBI's taxonomy places the organism in Eukaryota, Metazoa, Chordata, Mammalia, Primates, Lemuridae. The record is from RefSeq and is a predicted model, not a curated record.